UUUAUUUUAUUAACAUCAUGCAUUAUACCUUUUGAAUGGUAAUACAAUAAUGAUACGAACACAAGUUACUAAAUUACACAUUAUAAUCAACCUAAUAUUCUUUUUGGCAUAUUUUUGUUCUAAAUUAAUUUUUAUGUUUUGCUUAAAAUUUUCGUAAUUUCUUCUUCUAAGCCUUAGGUGGAGCAAGCCUUGGUGACUCGACAAAGUGAAGGGUUUGGUCUCCAGAAAGUUUUCUUCCAAGGUUCAAGAACGGAUCUUCACAAUUCAAAUUGGUGAGAAACAGUUUGAAUUUUGAGGAUCCGUUCUUGAACCUUGCAAGAAAACUUUCUGAAGACCAAACCCUUCACUUUGUCGAAUCAUCAAGGCUUGCUCCUCAAAAUCCUCACAAUAAAAAAAAAGAGAGAUAUAAGAAGAUCAAUCUAGAAACGUACUACGUACAAGUAAAAGAAGGAAAUGACCAUUCAAGAUUUGCAAGAGCUAGAGGAGAGAGAGAGAUGUGUAAGUUGUGAGGUAGAUUGUAGAGAAAAAUAGGGUUUUUAUAGAUAAAAUCGAUCAGGAGAGUUAACAUACGAAGAAAGAGUUUGGAAAAGCACUGCGCACUAGUUCUUUGGAUGGUAUUAUCUUUCGUAUCAUUGACAGCAAAUUAUUCUUCUAUUUCAUUUUCUUAGGAUUUAUUUU
RNAcentral lists this small RNA (678 nucleotides) under Arabidopsis thaliana (thale cress). RNAcentral's name for it is "ATSL298950". Lineage: Eukaryota; Viridiplantae; Streptophyta; Magnoliopsida; Brassicales; Brassicaceae. The record is from RNAcentral.